This 782-nucleotide ribosomal RNA is filed under the name Tubakia californica. Its description in RNAcentral is "eukaryotic LSU rRNA". It matches the Rfam family "Eukaryotic large subunit ribosomal RNA", at positions 91 to 902 of the family's 3401-position model. Lineage: Eukaryota; Fungi; Ascomycota; Sordariomycetes; Diaporthales; Tubakiaceae. The record is from RNAcentral.
GAGUGAAGCGGCAACAGCUCAAAUUUGAAAUCUGGCCUCGGCCCGAGUUGUAAUUUGCAGAGGAUGCUUUUGGUGCGGUGCCUUCCGAGUUCCCUGGAACGGGACGCCACAGAGGGUGAGAGCCCCGUAUGGUCGGACACCAAUCCUGUGUAAAGCUCCUUCGACGAGUCGAGUAGUUUGGGAAUGCUGCUCUAAAUGGGAGGUAAAUCUCUUCUAAAGCUAAAUACCGGCCAGAGACCGAUAGCGCACAAGUAGAGUGAUCGAAAGAUGAAAAGCACCUUGAAAAGGGGGUUAAACAGUACGUGAAAUUGUUGAAAGGGAAGCACUUGUGACCAGACUUGGGCCGGGCGGCUCAUCAGGGGUUCUCCCCUGUGCAUUCCGCCCGGUACAGGCCAGCAUCGGUUCUUACCGGGGGAUAAGAACGGCAGGAACGUGGCUCCCUCUCGGGGGAGUGUUAUAGCCUGCCGUACGAUACCCUGGCGGGGACCGAGGUUCGCGCUUCCGCAAGGAUGCUGGCGUAAUGGUUACUAGUGACCCGUCUUGAAACACGGACCAAGGAGUCGUCCAUUAGAGCGAGCGUUUGGGUGUAAAACCCGCACGCGUAAUGAAAGUGAAAUUAGGUGAGAGCUUCGGCGCAUCAUCGACCGAUCCUGAUGUUCUCGGAUGGAUUUGAGUAAGAGUUUUAACGGACGGACCCGAAAGACAGUGAACUAUGCUUGUAUAGGGUGAAGCCAGAGGAAACUCUGGUGGAGGCUCGCAGCGGUUCUGACGUGCAAAUCGAU